GCAAAGUGAAAUUGAAAAUGUCUGACUUGCUUAUAGGGUAAUCAAAAUUGAGCCUCUAAGGGUCCCCAAAUAACCUUGUCCAGGGCCUCAAUAACCCUAAGGUCACUGCUGAUGAGGCCUUGGGCCAGACUCCAGAGGAUGCUUUGCAGCAGGUCAAGAAAUUGAAGGCAUUUCCAGUGCCUGGACUGGCACCUGCAAGCAGCUCUGACACCCUUAAGCAAUGUCCCCAACUUCUAGGGAGGGACUGGAGCAAUGAUGCUUUAUUGGAGAACUUUCCUCCGCUUCUACACAGGCAUUACUUGGCAAUUUUGCAUGGCCUUUUUUCCUGUGGAGAAACAGGACAACAGACCUAAAGAGAAAUGCUGUUGCAUUCAGCGUUUCAACCUCACAGGGCAAAACAGAGACUUUGCCAAAAGCAAGGCAAAGGAAACGCUGAGGUGUGGCAGGGGCUAAAUCCCUCUAGCACAGAGGGACGGGGGUUCAAACAGAAGCUGCCAGGCGUUGAGGCACAGCACUGAGAUUAAAAAAAAGUGCGGGAGGUUAUGAACAAGUAGAGGCUGUUGGAGACCCUGCAGGGUCCCUCUGUGAGCUGAAAAGGGCCAGGGCCAGGGGCUGGCUGGAGGAGGAUGAAGCGACAGCAGCAGGUCUGGCAGCAGAGGGAGUCCUAGGCUGAGGCUGGAACAGGCUGGGUUAGUGGUCCCAGGCAGUCGCGGGAAAAGCCGUUACACCCUUACAUGCAAAAGCAGCCCCGCGGCACGUGCUGGCUAGCCCCCGUCCCACCGGCCUCGCGCGCUCCCCGCGCCUGCGCAGUCCCGCGGCGUGACGUCAGUGUCAGCUGGGCGCGCAGACGGUGGCCGAGUUCCGGGGUGUGGGUGUGGGAGAGGAAGGGGAAGGGCACAGCCUGGCUGGGACUUUGGUCGCUGCGGGACGUGGAGCCGGGACCCUCCACCUUUCCCCGGUGCGGGUCCGGCGCUGGCGGCUGCCCUCCCUUCCCCUUCCCUCCUCGCGGCCGCCGGGAGGACAUCGGCUCCACCUGACCCGGGAAUUGCCUCCUGCCGCUUGAACCUGGCUUAUCCCUUGUGCCGCCGGAGCUGCUGGGAAGGCCCUGGGCAUGACUAGGGCAGCGCGGGGGGAGCCGCCCAUGACAGCGCUGCAGGAUCGAAGCUGGCUGCCGGGCCUGAAGGAAAGGCCCCAGUAGAGCUGCCGGGCCUGUUAUCCCUCCUGCUUCCUGGAAGCAGAAGAGGGCCCAAACCAGGCUUUAACCUGACCUCCCUUCCCCCAGCACCUGCUGGACCUUUGCAUUCUGGCAAACAUACUUCCAUAGGCUUGGGAUAUGAAGCUGGGGCAUGUGCCACCCUUCACGUCACCUCUGGGGAGGUUGUGCUGUCUGUUUUCAGUGAAGGAUAUGAGGUUGAAUGGGAGCCAGAUGAUCUAGUGGAACCCGAGACUCCAGUUUAGGCAAAUCGUGAAGGUGAGGUGGGGUGGGCCUGGGGUGGGAGGAUACCUUUGGACUGCAUGUAGAUAUGGGAACCAUCAGUGCUUAGAAGAGCUCAGCUUUGCAGAAGUGAUGUAACCGCUUGUUAGCGCAAAUUCUCCUACCAUGGGAAGAGAACUGAUGACAUCUGACUUGACAGUUAAAAUUAAUUGGGAAAGACUGCCCCCCUCCCCCCAAAUAAAAUAAAAACAAAAAAACA
This is a long non-coding RNA of Crocodylus porosus (Australian saltwater crocodile), 1694 nucleotides long. The record is from Ensembl. Lineage: Eukaryota; Metazoa; Chordata; Crocodylia; Crocodylidae.